UACAGAGGUCCCAAGCGUUGUUCGGAUUCAUUGGGCGUAAAGGGUGCGUAGGUGGCGCCGUAAGUCGGGUGUGAAAUUUCGGAGCUUAACUCCGAAACUGCAUUCGAUACUGCGGUGCUUGAGGACUGGAGAGGAGACUGGAAUUCAUGGUGUAGCAGUGAAAUGCGUAGAGAUCAUGAGGAAGACCAGUGGCGAAGGCGGGUCUCUGGACAGUUCCUGACACUGAGGCACGAAGGCCAGGGGAGCAAACGG
Molecule: ribosomal RNA, 252 nt
Filed under: uncultured bacterium
Lineage: Bacteria
Description: partial 16S ribosomal RNA
Rfam family: Bacterial small subunit ribosomal RNA
Source: RNAcentral